AGCGAACGCCGGCGGCGUGCUUAACACAUGCAAGUCGAGCGAAGGUGUUUCAAGGGUAACCUUGAGAUACACUUAGCGGCGGACGGGUGAGUAAUACGUGGAUAACUUACCUCUAGGCCUGGGAUAACCCCGGGAAACUGGGGCUAAUACCUGAUAAGACCACAUUGUCUACGGACAAAGGGGUAAAAGGUGGCUGUGCAAACAGCUAUCGCCAAAAGAUAGGUUCACGUCCCAUCAGGCAGUUGGGAGGUAAUGGCUCACCAAACCAAAGACGGGUAGCCGGCCUUGGCGGGUGAACGGCCACACGGGGACUGAGACACGGCCCCGACUCCUACGGGAGGCAGCAGUGGGGAAUAUUGGGCAAUGGGCGCAAGCCUGACCCAGCGACGUCGCGUU
Molecule: ribosomal RNA, 396 nt
Filed under: uncultured bacterium
Lineage: Bacteria
Description: bacterial SSU rRNA
Rfam family: Bacterial small subunit ribosomal RNA
Source: RNAcentral